This is a small nuclear RNA of Gracilinanus agilis (Agile Gracile Mouse Opossum), 107 nucleotides long. Lineage: Eukaryota; Metazoa; Chordata; Mammalia; Didelphimorphia; Didelphidae. The record is from RefSeq and is a predicted model, not a curated record.
GUACUGGCUUCAGCAGCAUCUAUUCUAAAAUUAGAAUGAAAGAGAGAAGAUUAGUCUGGCCCCUGCACAAGGAUGACAUGCAAAUUCAUGAAGCAUUCCAUUAAAUU